GUGUACUGUAUAAAUAACAUUGUGACAUCAUCAUUGUCUCAUUGCUGGUCAGCCUGGUCCACAGUUUGAUGGGUGAGGAAUAAGACCCAAAAAAUGUCCUAAGAUUUGAAUAUGGCCCAAUUGAGCGUUCAGAAAGAUCCAGGACGCAUCAGAGCCUUCAGGACCAUUAAGCAGCUGUACAGUUUUACAAAGAAGAAGAAGAGUAAUUCUGCUUCAGGAAGAUCAGAGGAUGGAUGAUCC
Molecule: long non-coding RNA, 240 nt
Filed under: Sinocyclocheilus anshuiensis
Lineage: Eukaryota; Metazoa; Chordata; Actinopteri; Cypriniformes; Cyprinidae
Description: lncRNA (ENSSANG00000016769.1)
Source: RNAcentral